RNAcentral lists this ribosomal RNA (548 nucleotides) under uncultured bacterium. Its description in RNAcentral is "bacterial SSU rRNA". It matches the Rfam family "Bacterial small subunit ribosomal RNA", at positions 294 to 842 of the family's 1533-position model. The record is from RNAcentral.
GAGAGGAAGGUCCCCCACAUUGGAACUGAGACACGGUCCAAACUCCUACGGGAGGCAGCAGUGAGGAAUAUUGGUCAAUGGGCGAGAGCCUGAACCAGCCAAGUAGCGUGAAGGAUGACUGCCCUAUGGGUUGUAAACUUCUUUUAUAAAGGAAUAAAGUCGGGUAUGCAUACCCGUUUGCAUGUACUUUAUGAAUAAGGAUCGGCUAACUCCGUGCCAGCAGCCGCGGUAAUACGGAGGAUCCGAGCGUUAUCCGGAUUUAUUGGGUUUAAAGGGAGCGUAGAUGGAUGUUUAAGUCAGUUGUGAAAGUUUGCGGCUCAACCGUAAAAUUGCAGUUGAUACUGGAUAUCUUGAGUGCAGUUGAGGCAGGCGGAAUUCGUGGUGUAGCGGUGAAAUGCUUAGAUAUCACGAAGAACUCCGAUUGCGAAGGCAGCCUGCUAAGCUGCAACUGACAUUGAGGCUCGAAAGUGUGGGUAUCAAACAGGAUUAGAUACCCUGGUAGUCCACACGGUAAACGAUGAAUACUCGCUGUUUGCGAUAUACUGCAA